RNAcentral lists this unclassified non-coding RNA (225 nucleotides) under plant metagenome. RNAcentral describes it as "partial contains small subunit ribosomal RNA, internal transcribed spacer 1, and 5.8S ribosomal RNA". The record is from RNAcentral.
UUUCCGUUGGUGAACCAGCGGAGGGAUCAUUACAGGACUCGCAAGACUCCUACAACCCUGUGAACUUAACUAUAAGCACGUUGCUUCGGCGGGUGUCUCGGAGGGGGUUCUCCCUCCCCGAGACGCUAAACCCGCCGGCAGCCUACAAUACUCUGUCUCUUUGCGUUGGCAUCUCGAGUACAAUCAAACAAGUUAAAACUUUCAACAACGGAUCUCUUGGUUCUG